RNAcentral lists this ribosomal RNA (460 nucleotides) under uncultured bacterium. RNAcentral's name for it is "partial 16S ribosomal RNA". It matches the Rfam family "Bacterial small subunit ribosomal RNA", at positions 338 to 795 of the family's 1533-position model. The record is from RNAcentral.
CCUACGGGAGGUAGCAGUGAGGAAUAUUGGUCAAUGGACGAGAGUCUGAACCAGCCAAGUAGCGUGAAGGAUGACUGCCCUAUGGGUUGUAAACUUCUUUUAUAAAGGAAUAAAACGAGGCACGUGUGCCUUUUUGCAUGUACUUUAUGAAUAAGGAUCGGCUAACUCCGUGCCAGCAGCCGCGGUAAUACGGAGGGUCCGAGCGUUAUCCGGAUUUAUUGGGUUUAAAGGGAGCGUAGGUGGGUUGUUAAGUCAGUUGUGAAAGUUUGCGGCUCAACCGUAAAAUUGCAAUUGAUACUGGCAGUCUUGAGUACAGUUGAGGUAGGCGGAAUUCGUGGUGUAGCGGUGAAAUGCUUAGAUAUCACGAAGAACCCCGAUUGCGAAGGCAGCUUACCAAACUGUGACUGACAUUGAUGCUCGAAAGUGUGGGUAUCAAACAGGAUUAGAUACCCUUGUAGUC